RNAcentral lists this small RNA (376 nucleotides) under Histoplasma capsulatum var. duboisii H88. RNAcentral describes it as "Histoplasma capsulatum H88 hypothetical RNA". The record is from RNAcentral. Lineage: Eukaryota; Fungi; Ascomycota; Eurotiomycetes; Onygenales; Ajellomycetaceae.
GGUACACACGUCCAAGUAUAUUUCGCGCUAUCUGGUUGUCAAUUGUAGUAUGUGAAAGUGGAGAAUAAUGGAAAUGCUCCCUCGUCUUCUGAGGGGAUGCGGAUGAAGAGUGAGGAUUUUAUAACUGCCUGGACUGGGGGGCUGGAUAGCGUAGUGGUUAGGCGCAAUGCUGCAACUAAUGGGUUCAAAUCCCAAUGUUCAAAACCCCAGAAAGUGGCUGAACUUUCCGAGUAGGCUGACCAGUGAGAUGUAAACUGAAAACUCUUAAUUUAGUCUUGGAAACAAUAGGAAGCAAAACACAAAAUGUGAUUGCCUGCUGCUACCUCAGCGACUUCCACUGAGAUGUCACUACGAAGUAGAUUUCACACAUUGGCAC